Molecule: long non-coding RNA, 315 nt
Filed under: Musa acuminata (dwarf banana)
Lineage: Eukaryota; Viridiplantae; Streptophyta; Magnoliopsida; Zingiberales; Musaceae
Description: long non-coding RNA (MACU_LNC007725)
Source: RNAcentral
GAUGUUGGUGCUUGUGUUCAUUCUGCAUCUCAUUCCUUAGUAGCAGUUGCUGUUGUAGUAGCUUGAUCUUUUUCUAAUGCUUUUCUUCGCCUGAGGAGACUUUAGUGUGGCCCUGUCUUUCCUUUCACCUGUCUCUCUAAAAUACCUUAUCAUUCAUAUGUUAUAUUCCAUGUGAAUACUUUCUCUUUCUGGAACAGGUUCCCUUGUUUGUUCCGUUGCUUUCACUUUAAGAAUCAUAUGGGCAUCUGCAUGCUAUACGUCUAGUACAAUUGCCAUUGAUAGUUCCUUUGUGCUAAGGCGAGUUCUACUUGUUUG